AGCCCAUGGUGAGGGCACCUUCUCAAGAGGUCCUUGUAUCUCUCCCAUGCAUAAUAGAGUGUUUCUCGAUCCAUCUGUACAAAAGAAGAGAUAUCAUUCCUUAAUUU
Non-coding RNA from Gossypium arboreum, 107 nucleotides. NCBI's taxonomy places the organism in Eukaryota, Viridiplantae, Streptophyta, Magnoliopsida, Malvales, Malvaceae. The record is from Rfam.